GGAGCCGAGAGACAGGUGCUGCAUGGCUGUUGUCAGCUCGUGUCGUGAGAUGUUGGGUUAAGUCCCGUAACGAGCGCAACCCUUGUCCCUAGUUGCCAGCACUUCGGGUGGGGAACUCUAGGGAGACUGCCGGUGAUAAACCGGAGGAAGGUGGGGAUGACGUCAAGUCAUCAUGGCCCUUAUGGGCUGGGCUACACACGUGCUACAAUGGCCGGUACAGAGCGUCGCGAAGCCGCGAGGUGGAGCCAAUCGCACAAAACCGGUCGUAGUCCGGAUCGCAGUCUGCAACUCGACUGCGUGAAGUUGGAAUCGCUAGUAAUCGCAGAUCAGCACGCUGCGGUGAAUACGUUCCCGGGCCUU
RNAcentral lists this ribosomal RNA (360 nucleotides) under uncultured Allochromatium sp. RNAcentral's name for it is "bacterial SSU rRNA". It matches the Rfam family "Bacterial small subunit ribosomal RNA", at positions 1023 to 1382 of the family's 1533-position model. Lineage: Bacteria; Pseudomonadati; Pseudomonadota; Gammaproteobacteria; Chromatiales; Chromatiaceae. The record is from RNAcentral.